RNAcentral lists this ribosomal RNA (542 nucleotides) under Penicillium chrysogenum. Its description in RNAcentral is "eukaryotic LSU rRNA". The stretch from base 161 to 313 matches the Rfam family "5.8S ribosomal RNA". The record is from RNAcentral. Lineage: Eukaryota; Fungi; Ascomycota; Eurotiomycetes; Eurotiales; Aspergillaceae.
UGGGUCCAACCUCCCACCCGUGUUUAUUUUACCUUGUUGCUUCGGCGGGCCCGCCUUAACUGGCCGCCGGGGGGCUCACGCCCCCGGGCCCGCGCCCGCCGAAGACACCCUCGAACUCUGUCUGAAGAUUGUAGUCUGAGUGAAAAUAUAAAUUAUUUAAAACUUUCAACAACGGAUCUCUUGGUUCCGGCAUCGAUGAAGAACGCAGCGAAAUGCGAUACGUAAUGUGAAUUGCAAAUUCAGUGAAUCAUCGAGUCUUUGAACGCACAUUGCGCCCCCUGGUAUUCCGGGGGGCAUGCCUGUCCGAGCGUCAUUGCUGCCCUCAAGCACGGCUUGUGUGUUGGGCCCCGUCCUCCGAUCCCGGGGGACGGGCCCGAAAGGCAGCGGCGGCACCGCGUCCGGUCCUCGAGCGUAUGGGGCUUUGUCACCCGCUCUGUAGGCCCGGCCGGCGCUUGCCGAUCAACCCAAAUUUUUAUCCAGGUUGACCUCGGAUCAGGUAGGGAUACCCGCUGAACUUAAGCAUAUCAAUAAGCGGAGGAAUU